GACGAACGCUGGCGGCGUGCUUAACACAUGCAAGUCGAACGGAAAGGCCCUGCUUUUGUGGGGUGCUCGAGUGGCGAACGGGUGAGUAACACGUGAGUAACCUGCCCUUGACUUUGGGAUAACUUCAGGAAACUGGGGCUAAUACCGGAUAGGAGCUCCUGCUGCAUGGUGGGGGUUGGAAAGUUUCGGCGGUUGGGGAUGGACUCGCGGCUUAUCAGCUUGUUGGCGGGGUAGUGGCUUACCAAGGCUUUGACGGGUAGCCGGCCUGAGAGGGUGACCGGCCAAAUGGGGCCUGGGGUACGGCCCAGACCCCUACGGGGGGCAGCGGGGGGGAAUAUUGCACAAUGGGCGGAAGCCUGAUGCAGCAACGCCGGGGGGGGGAUGCCGGCCAAGGGGUUGUAAACCGCUUUCGCCUGUGACGAAGCGGGGGUGACGGUAAUUGGUAAAGAAGCCCCGGCUAACUACGU
This 467-nucleotide ribosomal RNA is filed under the name uncultured bacterium. RNAcentral's name for it is "partial 16S ribosomal RNA". It matches the Rfam family "Bacterial small subunit ribosomal RNA", at positions 28 to 506 of the family's 1533-position model. The record is from RNAcentral.